Malania oleifera is the source of this 932-nucleotide long non-coding RNA. RefSeq lists it as uncharacterized. Lineage: Eukaryota; Viridiplantae; Streptophyta; Magnoliopsida; Santalales; Ximeniaceae. The record is from RefSeq and is a predicted model, not a curated record. The transcript is spliced from 4 exons.
GACACAUAAGUAACACCGUACUUAGGUGACAAUAUAGUGCAUCAUUUGAAACAACAAUCUAACCUGCCUUCAUGUAGUUUUUGCUUUUCCCAGGUAAUGAAAGUGCAAUUCAUGUCUUGUAGCUGAGGGAACCAUAUCAUGGAUGACUAGUUUUACACUAGCUUUCAACUACCAAAUGCAACCCUCCUGUUUUAUUUAGACUUGGGACUCUGGAAAUAGUCAAGAUGGAAGUGCAACACGCACGAAUAUGCUUUGUUGCAGAUUAUCCUGCCAAAUUAAAACAAUGCCCCUGGUACUUUCAACAUGCUGCUGGUCCUCUGAUUAUACUUUCCAGGAAUUUGGCUCAGUACAUUCACGUAAACAGCGCAUCUCUAAAGACUUAUGCUCAUGAUGAUGUAUCAUUGGGUUCAUGGAUGAUGGGUCUCCAAGCAACAUAACUGAUGAAUGUUCGUCUGUGCUGUGGCAGCUCCAGAAAAGAUAAGGUGUGUGGCGUGGCUUAUUAGUGGAGAUUGUUUCUUUAAAUCGGUACUAACGGCUAAUGCUUCCGACUUUCUUGGCUGGCCGUUUAUGUUGGCCAUUUGGGGAGUCCUGUGGGGUUGCUAACAUUGCCAGCAGAACAUGUUUUGUGCGUGUGCAUUUGUUUUGUUGCAUUUUGAGUUGCAGUGAGGGAUCUCUAUGAAGCAUCAGAUGAGUUCACUGAAAAUUGGCGACGAGUUUUCUUUUCCCCCGUCACUGAGAUAGAUACACAGGGAAAACAAGAAAAACAAUAUAUCAUGAUUUUGCAGACAAAUGUUGUGGGAGGUUUGAUAUAUUGUAAUUGGGCGUUUGUCUUUUUUAUCCUUUUUCCUAGUGAAUAAUUUUGUUUAUGAAAGUUCUCUUUUGUUUCCAUGAGAAAGGGAAAUGUAAUGGAAUACAUUGGGAACAUUCAAAUU